RNAcentral lists this long non-coding RNA (294 nucleotides) under Brassica napus (rape). RNAcentral describes it as "long non-coding RNA (BNAP_LNC013156)". The record is from RNAcentral. Lineage: Eukaryota; Viridiplantae; Streptophyta; Magnoliopsida; Brassicales; Brassicaceae.
AGGCAAAAGAUUCAUUGUAUACAACUAAUGCUAACAUCACAGGUAACAAGAGCCGCAUUCUAUUAUUCUCAUGGUUGAGAGUAGCCAUAAACUCAGAGGAGAUCAGUCUCUACAGUUGUGAAGUCCAUUUGGUCUAUAUCCGGCUUAGUUGUAUUAUGUGCGUCUUUCCUCGCUUACAUUUUUAGCUUCGAUCUCAGCGACAAUAUGGAAGACUGCAUUGUGUGCAUGACAUCAACAGCUGAGCUAACAACAUGCGUGAUAUAAUACAUAAAAAUAUUCAUAAAAAAAAAUUGA